This 461-nucleotide ribosomal RNA is filed under the name uncultured Streptococcus sp. RNAcentral's name for it is "bacterial SSU rRNA". It matches the Rfam family "Bacterial small subunit ribosomal RNA", at positions 920 to 1382 of the family's 1533-position model. Lineage: Bacteria; Bacillati; Bacillota; Bacilli; Lactobacillales; Streptococcaceae. The record is from RNAcentral.
CCCGCACAAGCAGUGGAGUAUGUGGUUUAAUUCGAAGCAGCGCGAAGAACCUUACCAGGUCUUGACAUCCCGAUGCUAUUUCUAGAGAUAGAAAGUUACUUCGGUACAUCGGUGACAGGUGGUGCAUGGUUGUCGUCAGCUCGUGUCGUGAGAUGUUGGGUUAAGUCCCGCAACGAGCGCAACCCCUAUUGUUAGUUGCCAUCAUUCAGUUGGGCACUCUAGCGAGACUGCCGGUAAUAAACCGGAGGAAGGUGGGGAUGACGUCAAAUCAUCAUGCCCCUUAUGACCUGGGCUACACACGUGCUACAAUGGUUGGUACAACGAGUUGCGAGUCGGUGACGGCGAGCUAAUCUCUUAAAGCCAAUCUCAGUUCGGAUUGUAGGCUGCAACUCGCCUACAUGAAGUCGGAAUCGCUAGUAAUCGCGGAUCAGCACGCCGCGGUGAAUACGUUCCCGGGCCUU